RNAcentral lists this ribosomal RNA (499 nucleotides) under uncultured bacterium. Its description in RNAcentral is "partial 16S ribosomal RNA". It matches the Rfam family "Bacterial small subunit ribosomal RNA", at positions 28 to 507 of the family's 1533-position model. The record is from RNAcentral.
GACGAACGCUGGCGGCGUGCCUAAUACAUGCAAGUCGAGCGAAGGUUUUCUGGUGCUUGCACUAGAAAAACUUAGCGGCGAACGGGUGAGUAACACGUAAAGAACCUGCCUCAUAGACUGGGACAACUAUUGGAAACGAUAGCUAAUACCGGAUAACAGUAUUUCUCGCAUGAGAGAUAUUUAAAAGUUGGUUAUGCUAACACUAUGAGAUGGCUUUGCGGUGCAUUAGCUAGUUGGUGGGGUAAAGGCCCACCAAGGCGACGAUGCAUAGCCGACCUGAGAGGGUGAUCGGCCACACUGGGACUGAGACACGGCCCAGACUCCUACGGGAGGCAGCAGUAGGGAAUCUUCCGCAAUGGGCGAAAGCCUGACGGAGCAACGCCGCGUGAGUGAAGAAGGAUUUCGGUUCGUAAAGCUCUGUUGUUAGGGAAGAAUGGAUAUGUAGUAACUAUACAUGUAAGAGACGGUACCUAACCAGAAAGCCACGGCUAACUACGUG